GCCCGCGGAGGAUUAGGUAGUCGGAAGGGUAACGGCCUCCCAAGCCAAUGAUCCUUAGCUGGUCUGAGAGGACGUUCAGCCACACUAGAACUGAGACACGGUCUAGAGAUUUACGGAUCGCAGCAGUGAGGAAUUUUAGACAAUGGGCGCAAGCCUGAUCUAGCUCUAUUGCGUGGGUGAUGAAGGCUCUUUUGUUCGUAAAACCCUUUGAUGAAAGUAUGAUAAUGACAUCAUUUCAAAAACAAGUCCCGGCUAAAUCUGUGCCAGCAGCCGCGGUAAUACAGAUGGGGCAAGCGUUAUUCGGAAUGACUGGGCGUAAAGGAUACGUAGGCGGUGUUUGAAGUUGAAAAUGAAAUUCAAGAGCUUGACUUUUGAUGUGUUUUCAAAACCAAAACACUUGAGUAUGAAAGAAGAAGGUAGAAUUUCUCGUGGAAGAGUGAAAUCUGUAGAGAUGAGAAGGAAUACCAAAAGCGAAGGCAGCCUUCUAGUUCAUCACUGACGCUGAGGUAUGAAGGUAUGGGGAGCGAGCGGGAUUAGAUACCCCGUUAGUCCAUACAGUCAACGAUGUCGGUUCCCUCUCGUGGAUAUGCUGCGGGGGGACAGCUAACGCAGAAACCGACCGCCUGAGGAGUACGGUCGCAAGAUUAAAACUUAAAGGAAUUGACGG
RNAcentral lists this ribosomal RNA (667 nucleotides) under uncultured bacterium. Its description in RNAcentral is "bacterial SSU rRNA". It matches the Rfam family "Bacterial small subunit ribosomal RNA", at positions 229 to 916 of the family's 1533-position model. The record is from RNAcentral.